Non-coding RNA from Nicotiana sylvestris (wood tobacco), 142 nucleotides. NCBI's taxonomy places the organism in Eukaryota, Viridiplantae, Streptophyta, Magnoliopsida, Solanales, Solanaceae. The record is from Rfam.
GAGUGAAGAGCAUAUCACAUAGCCAAAGUUGACUGCCUGCAACUCAUGCAAAAAGGCUUUUAUUUUUUAUCUAGCUAAUUAAAUAAGCCCUUGAAAAUGGUCCGGGCAAGUCAUCCUUGGCUAUCAAAUAAGACUCUUCUUU